GCCAAUGAAGAGAAUGCAGGCUGCGGACACUUCCAUGUUGGCUUCACUUUGCUCGACCCGAGCGACUUUUGGUUCAUGACAGAGACACUGACCACAUGUCAAGAGCUGUAGUUUGUGUCUUGGUCCCUAGGAGGAGCUCUGGACUUCUGUACCUGCAGACACAGGAUGGAGGAGGAGGCGUGAUCAGUCUGAGAGGAAUCCUGCUGCCUGUGCAUGUGAGGGACGGAAUCACAGCCGAGGUCCAUGUUGUCAUGUGACACGUCAAGUCACGCCACGGAAACUUGUACGAAUGAAGACAUGAAUGUGAACAUAUGAGAUUCUGCGUUCAUGCAGUCUCAACCCCACCUCCUGAUCUCACCACUCUACCAACCACACAUUCAUCUCCUUCUCUAUCUUCUUUCAUGACCAAGUUCUUUCCCUAAUAACCUCUGCCCGCCCCACCUCCUGCCCCCUUGACC
Molecule: long non-coding RNA, 458 nt
Organism: Solea senegalensis (Senegalese sole)
Lineage: Eukaryota; Metazoa; Chordata; Actinopteri; Pleuronectiformes; Soleidae
Exons: 3
Source: RefSeq, a predicted model, not a curated record